GGGUCAUGUAUGAAAAAUGUGUGUGUAUUAUGUGGGUGGAUAUAUCAACAAAGCUCCCCGACACCUUUUCAAACCCCUACGUGGUCCUCCACAAUGACCUCCCUCACUUUCACCCUGCAUACACACUUUUAUCCCCUAUACACACCUUCCAUAUACACAGUUACCCCACAUACACAGUCACCCCCAUACACAGUUACCCCUGUACACACAGUCACCUCCCCAUAUACACAGUUACCCCACAUACACAGUUACCCCUGUACACACAGUCACCUCCCCAUAUACACAGUCACCCCCAUACACA
This is a non-coding RNA of Pelobates cultripes (western spadefoot toad), 301 nucleotides long. The record is from the annotation of a GenBank genome assembly. Lineage: Eukaryota; Metazoa; Chordata; Amphibia; Anura; Pelobatidae.